AAGACUAAUACCCAAUGACGUCUCUAGAAGACAUCUGAAAGAGAUUAAAGAUUUAUCGGUGAUGGAUGGGGAUGCGUCUGAUUAGCUUGUUGGCGGGGUAACGGCCCACCAAGGCAACGAUCAGUAGGGGUUCUGAGAGGGAGGUCCCCCACAUUGGAACUGAGACACGGUCCAAACUCCUACGGGAGGCAGCAGUGAGGAAUAUUGGUCAAUGGACGAGAGUCUGAACCAGCCAAGUAGCGUGCAGGAUGACGGCCCUAUGGGUUGUAAACUGCUUUUAUAAGGGAAUAAAGUGAGAGUCGUGACUCUUUUUGCAUGUACCUUAUGAAUAAGGACCGGCUAAUUCCGUGCCAGCAGCCGCGGUAAUACGGAAGGUCCGGGCGUUAUCCGGAUUUAUUGGGUUUAAAGGGAGCGUAGGCCGGAGAUUAAGCGUGUUGUGAAAUGUAGACGCUCAACGUCUGCACUGCAGCGCGAACUGGUUUCCUUGAGUACGCACAAAGUGGGCGGAAUUCGUGGUGUAGCGGUGAAAUGCUUAGAUAUCACGAAGAACUCCGAUUGCGAAGGCAGCUCACUGGAGCGCAACUGACGCUGAAGCUCGAAAGUGCGGGUAUCGAACAGGAUUAGAUACCCUGGUAGUCCGCACGGUAAACGAUGGAUGCCCGCUGUUGGUCUGAAUAGGUCAGCGGCCAAGCGAAAGCAUUAAGCAUCCCACCUGGGGAGUAC
This 723-nucleotide ribosomal RNA is filed under the name uncultured bacterium. RNAcentral describes it as "bacterial SSU rRNA". It matches the Rfam family "Bacterial small subunit ribosomal RNA", at positions 159 to 883 of the family's 1533-position model. The record is from RNAcentral.